Molecule: ribosomal RNA, 390 nt
Filed under: uncultured Alphaproteobacteria bacterium
Lineage: Bacteria; Pseudomonadati; Pseudomonadota; Alphaproteobacteria
Description: bacterial SSU rRNA
Rfam family: Bacterial small subunit ribosomal RNA
Source: RNAcentral
CGAACCCUUCGGGGUUAGUGGCGCACGGGUGCGUAACGCGUGGGAACCUGCCUUUAGGUUCGGAAUAACAGUUAGAAAUGACUGCUAAUACCGGAUAAUGUCUUCGGACCAAAGAUUUAUCGCCUUUAGAUGGGCCCGCGUUAGAUUAGAUAGUUGGUGGGGUAAUGGCCUACCAAGUCGACGAUCUAUAGCUGGUCUGAGAGGAUGAUCAGCCACACUGGGACUGAGACACGGCCCAGACUCCUACGGGAGGCAGCAGUGGGGAAUAUUGGACAAUGGGCGAAAGCCUGAUCCAGCAAUGCCGCGUGAGUGAUGAAGGCCUUAGGGUUGUAAAGCUCUUUUACCAGGGAUGAUAAUGACAGUACCUGGAGAAUAAGCUCCGGCUAACUC